AAUAACUUUAUCAAGUAUGUAUCCCACCCUGGACCAGUGCUCCAGCGCUGAAGAGACCCUUUCCCAGUACUUUGACGACUGAUGCUCAAACCCUCUCACAGUGUAUCCAGAUCAGAAAUAAAGAAACAAGAUUGGUUGUUUCUCUUUGACAAAGUGCUUGCAAACCAUCAGUAAUAUCACAGAGAUCCCAGGCUGAUUUGUUAUAGAAAACCCUGAAGUGAAAGAGCCCUGGCAUAUCCACUGAUGAGAAUAUCUCAUUAUUUUUGCGAAGAAUGGAGCCACACUGUCCUCAGCCAAUGGAGAUCUGCAGUUCCCUUGGCAUCUUUCCAGCACUUACGUAAAUUGCAUCCCUGUGAAUACAGCCUCUGGAAAGCUCAAAUGAGAGCAAUGGAGCAAAACAGGAGCAGCUCCAAGACAGAGCAGUGGGCUGGGAAACACACCUGGAAACAGAACCUGCUGUCUUCAGUGAAGCCCAACCAGCCUUGCCGAGACAGUUUGAGACAGCACUGCCACUGCUGCCCUGUCCCUCUACCAGCUAUGUCUGUCACAGCAAAAGUGCCAAACCAGCUCUCAGUUACCCUCCAGUUUUAAGUGCCAAACAAGGCUGGUAUGAUAGGAUGAACAAGGCAAAUGUCAGAGAACAGAGACUGCUCAGAGAGUUUUGCCAGCUCAUCACUGAGGUGAUCCUCUCCAGCAAAAAAAAUGGCAGACAGUUCAGGAGAGGGACCUGAACUGCCGUGAACACUCACUGUCAACAGAGAGGGCUCGCCAGAGUAGGAGACCACUGAGAUGACAACUAUUAAAAAAAGAGACAGUUAAGAGAGAAGGAAAGAAAGGGGGGGAGGGGGGGGAAGGAGUAUGAGAAUCAACAGAAGACUAGGGAAGAGCAGAUAGGGAAAGGGAAGAAGGCAAGACAGAAUAGAAGUAAGGUUGUAUGGUAUGGAGAAGAGGUGUCAUCCCUUCAGCCUGAAAGUACAAUGG
This is a long non-coding RNA of Corapipo altera (White-ruffed manakin), 981 nucleotides long. RefSeq lists it as uncharacterized. The record is from RefSeq and is a predicted model, not a curated record. NCBI's taxonomy places the organism in Eukaryota, Metazoa, Chordata, Aves, Passeriformes, Pipridae. The transcript has 4 exons.